GGACUACAAGGGUAUCUAAUCCUGUUUGCUCCCCACGCUUUCGCGUAUCAGCGUCAGCAACGAUCCAGAGGGCCGCCUUCGCCGCCGGUGUUCCUCCUGAUAUCUACGCAUUUCACCGCUACACCAGGAAUUCCACCCUCCUCUAUCGCGCUCCAGCCAGCUAGUUUCCGACGCACUUCCGGGGCUAAGCCCCGGGCUUUCACAUCAGACUUGGCCGACCGCCUACACGCCCUUUACGCCCAGUCAAUCCGAACAACGCUUGCACCCUCCGUCUUACCGCGGCGGCUGGCAC
This 292-nucleotide ribosomal RNA is filed under the name uncultured bacterium. Its description in RNAcentral is "partial 16S ribosomal RNA". The record is from RNAcentral.